This 468-nucleotide ribosomal RNA is filed under the name uncultured bacterium. Its description in RNAcentral is "partial 16S ribosomal RNA". It matches the Rfam family "Bacterial small subunit ribosomal RNA", at positions 28 to 507 of the family's 1533-position model. The record is from RNAcentral.
GACGAACGCUGGCGGCGCGCUUAACACAUGCAAGUCGAACGGAAAGGCCCUGCUUUUGUGGGGUGCUCGAGUGGCGAACGGGGGAGUAACACGUGAGUAACCUGCCCUUGACUUUGGGAUAACUUCAGGAAACUGGGGCUAAUACCGGAUAGGAGCUCCUGCUGCAUGGUGGGGGUUGGAAAGUUUCGGCGGUUGGGGAUGGACUCGCGGCUUAUCAGCUUGUUGGUGGGGUAGUGGCUUACCAAGGCUUUGACGGGUAGCCGGCCUGAGAGGGUGACCGGCCACAUUGGGACUGAGAUACGGCCCAGACUCCUACGGGAGGCAGCAGUGGGGAAUAUUGCACAAUGGGCGGAAGCCUGAUGCAGCAACGCCGCGUGCGGGAUGACGGCCUUCGGGUUGUAAACCGCUUUCGCCUGUGACGAAGCGUGAGUGACGGUAAUGGGUAAAGAAGCACCGGCUAACUACGUG